AAUCCGCCUGCUGCUCAGGGCCCUCCUCAGGGUGCCCAGCUCUCCACCAGCGGCUCCAUCGUCGGCUUGGGACGCAGAUGGCCUCAGAGGUCACCACCGGGGAGCGCAGGGAGGGGUCCACUGAGUGUCCAGGUCCUUGGGGGCCGCUCAGGGCUCGGCUGCCCUUCAUUCCCCCGCUGUGCUCACACACCCAGUGCUCACCCGCUGCAUCAGAACCCUGCUCCGCAGGAUACGGCCCUGCCGUCCUGCGGACGCUGCGUCCCCAGCGCCCACAGCAGAAACCGAGGGUUGUUGGUGCCGCGGUGGUCGAUGUCAUGGCACAGGCCGGCUGUCACCAUGGCGAAGGCCUCCAGGAACCGCACCAGGACCUGGGGGAGCCGAGAGGACACAGGGCUCCGGCGGCAAGCGUGUAAGUCCCGCCAGAGCGGCACCUGUGGCUGACUUCACAGUGGAAGCCCUGCUCCGUGCCAUCAUCCCCACACCGUCUCCUGGACUUCCCGAUCUUCCCCAUCCCUGCGUUUCCCACUGGCCUCUGCUGGCCUUCCUGGGUAGGGGCUGCCACAUUGGCACCUAUGGGGUGGAGCCAGGUAGGGCAGGAGCUGAGAACAGCCCCAGCCUUCAGGGGCCGCCCAGCCUCCAUCCGACUGCCUGGCCUCAAGCUGGGAGGAGGACCCCUGGGGAUGCAGCAUAUUUUAAGAUGUUGGUUUUAGGCAUGGACAUUUGAAUGAGCAGAAUGUGUGGGCUGCAGGCUGGGGUGGGAGAACCGAUGUCCGCAGGGCAAGAGAAUGCUGGUCUCUCUUGCCCUGCGGACAUCGCCAGGAGGCUCUUCCUGCGGCCAUUGUGAUUUUUAGGGUCAGAAAAUUAUUUGGAAAUAUUUUUUAUUCUGCAAAUAUUUUCUAUACAUUUUUUCUUGAGUGUUUUCCCUUAGUAUUUAGUAAAACUUCUUUUGAAAAUGCUGGCCUGCUGCACCUGUUCUCAGAGGGGCAUGAGAAAAGAGGAUUCUCUUCCUAGGGCUGUGGGAAGCCCCUUGAGAUGUUGGAAGCAGGGCAGGGCAGGAGAACCCAGGGAGGGCACAGAGCUGUGGACGAGGGCUGGGAAAGCCAUCCCGCCUCCCCAGGGGGUCUCCGAGGAGUGCUGCUGUGGCCAAACCAGGGGGGCCACUUUGUGCUUUCUGUUUAGGUGAUGGGAUGCUUCUAUCUCCUCAGCACCCCACACCAAAUCCCCUGUUAUUGCCAGAUGAUGUGCCUAAUGAUCAAAUUGCUUGGAACUCCUAAUAAUAAAACUUUAAAUCUAUCCAUUCACCAUCCAUCUGCUGUCCACCCAUCCAUUCACCCAUUCAUUGACCCAUCUAUUAAUUCAUUAAUUGACCCACCUACUCAUCUAUCACUCAUCCACCCACUUCUCCAUCCAUCCACCUAUCCAUUCACUUAUCCAACCAUCUAACUACCAUUGGCCCACUCACCCAUCCAUCCAUUUAUCCAACCAUCCAACUACCAUUGGCCCACCCACCCAUCCAUUUAUCCAACUAUCCAACUACCAUUGGCAUCCACCCAUCCAUUCAUUUAUUCUUCCUUUGUUUCUUUCUGCUUGCCUGUUGGCCUUCCUUCCUUCCUAACCUCCCUCCUUCCUCCCUGCUUUUCACCCAUCCAGCCAUCCAUCAAUCCAGCCAUCCACCCAGCCAUCCAAUUAUUUGUUUUAUGCUUACUUCCCGUGUGCAUUUUACCUGUUCUGUGAUGAACAUGUCGGCCCUCUAAACUUCCUGUGGGAUCUGGAACCCCCAAUCCCAUCCCCCUCACCUUCUGGGGCACCUGAGGCCCUGAUCACAUCCCCACCCCCAUGUCCUGGGCGGCCUCAGGGACCUGACUAUGCGCCCUGCGGUGUCUCCCACCUCCUGGGGGAUCUGGAACUUUCGGACCACGCCCAGCUCGUAGUACAUCUGGAUGCCACAUUUGACCAGGUCCAGUUCGGUGCACUCCAGAUCCCCUGCCAAGCCUCAGACACCUCAGGCAUCUCUGAGGAGAUGUGUCAUUCCUGGCGCUCCAGCCUGUAUCCCAGGCUGCUCACACGCCCCCCUGGCUCAGCCUCACUCUCCCCUCUUGUACCCUGUGGCCCAACAGUGAAGAACUUGCCCAGUUGGGUGGACAGGGUGAUGUUGUUGAGACAAGAAAACACAAAGGUGUGCACAUGAAAAGAAACACACACACACACGGAUACAGACACACGUGACACAGGCACACCUGGAUACACGGCCACUCCCAUGAAUACAAAGGCACCGGUGUGGACACACAGGCACACACAUGAGCACCCAGGCACACCCACAGACAUGCAGGCACACACGUGCAGACUCACGCAUGUAGGCUCACACACACAGCCAUGAGGUAACACACACAACAGUGGACUUUCAGACCCACCAGGCACAUUCCCAUGCUCAGUCCAAGGCCUACUCACAAGGCUCGUGGCCCCGGGAGAUUCUGGCUAAAUUGCAUAGGCAGACACAGGGUGAUGGGGACACCACAUAAUCCCCACAUUGAUCCAGCAAUCGUCUCUAGGAGACACACACAAGCAUGUGUCUAUAUAUAUCCAUGUGCACACACAUGCACACACAAUACACACCCCCUGUGCACAUGUGAGCACACACACAUGGGUGCACACACGGGCACACACACACAAACGCCCAUGUGCACACACAUGCACACACAUACUCGUGGGCACACAUGUGCACACACAUGUGUACACAUGUGCACAUUCAUACAAUGCACACACGCACACACAUACCCACAUGUGCACACACACACCCACAUGUGCACACAUGUACACACCUGUGCAGACGCCCACGUGUGCACACACACCUACAUGCACACACACGUACACACUUGUGCACACACAGACACCCACAUGUGCACACACAUGCACACAGACACCCAUGUGCGUGCACACAUGCGGAUGCACACACACUGGGAGUUGCAGGCACCUAGGCACUCUGAGAGCAGAGAUGACAUAGAUGGACACAGAGUCCAAGUCAGGCCCACUAAACAUCCGGUGAAAACUAAACAUCUGGCAAAGCACAGAGGAGACAGGAAGACACGAAGAUACACUCAGGAGUGCAGACAUCAAAGCCACAUUCUGGCCAUGCAAACACACUCAGGGACACACUGGCUGAGACUGAAAGCCAGGCUUAUGUACACACACGUACACUAAGGUGCUUAGAUACACAAGUAUACACACACAGCACCAACAUCCCUGAUGACCGUGUGUGCAAAGCACCGUCGGGUCCCGGAGAAUGCAGAACUCUUCCUCCCAGCCUCACACGUGGCCGGCCUCCAUGGGAGGGACGGGAGCAAGGUUCUUACCAGGAUUUCGCCCAGCUCGUCCUCAUCGCAGUCAGCAGGCUCCUUCCCCAGGCGCGCUCUGGUUGGCUACACAGAGACACAGAUGUGUCACGAGAAAGAGCUUCGCAUGUGGGACAAGCCAUGACCCCUGGUGACCUGUCCCCACCGCACAGCUGUGACCCCUGGUGACCUGCCCCCGCCGCAGAGCCAUGACCUCUGGGUGACCCCUGGAUGGACCCCUGGACGACCUGCCCCCACCACACAGCCGUGACCCCUGGAUGACCUGCCCCCACCGCACAGCCAUGACCCCUGGCCAUGACCCCUGGGUGACCCCUGGACGACCUGCCCCUGCCGCACAGCCGUGACCCCUGGGUGACCCCUGGACGACCUGCCCCCGCCGCACAGCCAUGACCCCUGGCCGAGACCCCUGGGUGACCCCUGGACGACCUGCCCCUGCCACACAGCCGUGACCCCUGGGUGACCCCUGGACGUCCUGCCCCGCCGCACCAGGAUGAGCUGGAUCUCGUCCCUGUCGCACUUCACGUGGUAAAGGACCAUGUCCUGUGCGAUGUCCUUGCGGUUCUCCAGCUUGUUCAUCUUGUCGUAGGUGUCGGUGUUCAUCACUGACCAGCCCAGGAACUGUGUCAGGGACUGGAGGGGAUGGCAGUGUCACUGGCGCUCAGCGCUCCCGGCGCGCCCCCUCCCAUGUGCCUGUGUGCCAGGCCCCGUGGCUCGGCGGGCAGGUCCUGGGGCUGCCACCAUGGUGUCGCAGUGCUUCUGUGUGGGGUCUCCCGGGUGCUCUGCAGAGGCUCCUGCUCCCGGGGGGGCCCUUUGUCGUCCUCUCCCUGGCCGCAUGCAUACCGCACACACAUGAGCACACGCACACAGCCGAAUGCUUGGCGGGGAGGCCCCCACACCGCACAGGCCCCACCCCUCGCAGGGCAUCCCCGGCGGAACCACGUCUGCCCAGGUGCUUACCUCCAUGAGAACCUCGUCCUGUUCGUCAAAGGGCUUCCCGUCUUUCCUGUUGUAAAAUGUGGCGACUCCCACAAUCUCCUCCUUCUUGUUGACGAUGGGCAUGGACAGCACAUUCUUGAUGAGCCACCCGGAGUCGUCCAGGGCCCCUUCCUGCGGGAGCGGUGUCCAGAGCUGAGCUCCGCCCUGAGGCUGGCCCUGGCCCGGGCGUGUGGCCGGGGAGAGUGACCUCAUGUCUUCUCCCCUAGAGCCGUGACGGCUGGGCUCGUGUUCCUGUCUCUGCUCUCUGCAUUCCCUCUCUCCCUCUCUGCAUUUGGAGUUUGUGUCCAUGGUUUUUGUGUCAUGAUAUUUUCCCACCGGAGGAGGUAGAGGCCGUUUUCCCACCAGGAGUGGUUUCAUGGGCAUGUGUGUGGGGCGGCGGUCACGGCCUCGCAGGGGUGUGUGGGGGCCGCGGUCACGGCCUCGCAGGGGUGUGUGGGGGCCGCGGUCACGGCCUCGCAGGGGUGUGUGGGGGCCGCGGUCACGGCCUUGCGGGCGUGUGUGGGGGCUGUGGUCACAGCCCCAGGUGAUCCACCCGCCUCAGCCUCCCAAAGUGCUGGGAUUACAGGCGUGAGCCACCAUGCCUGGCUGAAGUUGUUUUUUAAGUGGCAAAAACGAAUUCACUUCAUCAUCGCUGAAUCAAAAUCUCCUCUUUUGUAAGUAAGUAUAAUUUCUACCAAGGCACAGACAGAUACCUGAAAUUUGAACAUUUCGUCAGCGGAAGCAUUCAUGAUGUUACAAAUCUGAAAAAGCAUCAGAAAAACGAUUUCAUCCAAAACAGCGGAAGGUCUGUUAUGAUCUAAAAUGGCCUCUGUGGCCCUGAGGUGAGCUUUUAAGUAGGUAAAGCAGGGCAGCUGGGGGCUUCACUGAGGCACGUGGAGCUGGCCGGGAGGGCGGGACGUGGCAGAGACAAGGAGAAGCACACAUCGCCGCACCCAGUGAGGGCAAGGCUGUGGGGACUCCAGACAGCACGGGACUCACAAAGCCGCUUUCUGCCACGUAGCUUGGAAGGCCGCUGGCCAGGGCCCAGUGAUCGGCUGAGGGUGUGCUGUGGGCAGAGAGCAGGGGUCAGAUAGGCCACGCCGGGCUGGAUGUGCGCGUGCAGGAGUCAGAGGGACUGGAUGUCUGUGUGCAGGGGUGAGAGGGGCUGGUCUAGGCUGCACGUGUGUGUGCAGGGGUCAGAGGGGCUGGUCUGGGCUGCACGUGUGUGUGCAGGGGUCAGAGGGGCCAGGCUGCGCUGGAUGUAGGUGUACUGGGGUCAGAUGGACUGGGCGUGUGUGCAGGGGUCUGGGGGUCUCUGGCUCAUGUGCCAUCCUCAGCAUUUACUCUCUUCUCUGAGUGCCAGGGGGUUCAGGAGGCGAGGAGGCCAGGGCGUGGGUUGGAGGACGGCUGUGCUGCCUUCUUCCUCCUCCCCAGGCUGCCGUGCUGGGGCCCCUCCCUCUUGGGAACCCCUCCCUCUCCGGAGGCCGUAUGGCUUCAGCCUGCUUUCUAGGACUCAGCGUUGGUGCCUGCCCUGCCACCCUGACCCUGACUUGUGCUCAAGCCUGGCACCUGGAUCCUGGUUCCUGCUUGGGGCCUGGGGAUGGGGUCCCAAUAGGCUUAUGGGAUCACAGGGCCACUGGGCCACCAGCUGCCCCUCCCUUGGCUGGAGUCCUGCCCUGACCUCCGGACUGGAGUUCCCCUCCUCUUCCAGCCCCACGGGGCCAAGACUCGGCCUCCUGGCUGGAGGCUCCACUGUCUGGGUGGGGCUGGUGGUGCCAGGGUCAAAUCCUGGGGCCUUCAUGCUCAAUUGUUGCUGACGAGGCCGCCUGGACAGCUUGCCUGGUCCCCUGUAUGUCCACUCUGGAUGUCCACAGUGACUCGGGCUCCUCAGCAGCCCACGUCCUCCUCACCAUCUCCCAGAACAGCGUGCGUGGGCCCGAGUACGGCUGGGACUCUCCCAUCAGCACAGACCACACGUCAAAAAAUUCCUGGGCAGAGAAGAGGAGGCCCACGGAGUACCGCUCGCAGUUGAGGUAGGCCCGCACCGUGUAGAAGGCCUUGUGGAACUGCCUCUCGAUGUCCGUCAGCUCCUCAAACACCUUGUUGGCCGACCACAGCAGCACCUGGAGGGAGGGGCACACCUGUGGGCCUGUGGCCACUCCCACCCUCACGCCGGUCUGACCACAGCAGCAGGGGUUUAACUCAAGCCUGACACAGGUGCGCUCCCUGAUCUGACCACCUGCCCAGCCGUGGAGCCUGGCACAGACCCUGAUUGGUGGCUCCGUGGCCAGGUUUCAUCUGAGCUUGUGGGGCCCGGGAGCUGGCUGGCGGUGAGGCCUCGAGGCUGCGGUCGUGUCCCUGAUCACUCAGGAGUGGACGAGUGGAAAGUGGAAUCUGUCGCUUUGAGCUUGACAGGCAAACAUCCGACCAGCCCUUCCUCCGCCCGGCUGCUCCAGAACCACCUGCGGCGAGCAGGGCUUUGAGAACAUCGGGCCGUGGUUUCCGCACGUCAGGCCGCCUGUGGCCUCCGCCAAGCGUCUGAGAGUGAAGCAUUGCUGACGCACUCCACGAGGUCCUGGCCAGACCCCACUCAGGACAUCCCGCUGCACAGGCCCCUGGUUGCUGGGUCAGCGCUGCCACCAGGCUCAGACUCACCCCAGGGCCCUCCUUGGGCCACCUUUCUCUGCCUCCUUGGUCAAGGCCCAGACCCAGGCCCCACCAGGCCCUGCCUCCUCACACUCGCGGCGGCCGCUGGGUCUUCUACCGCAUGGUGCCAGCUCCCUCUCCUCCGCUGCGGUGUCCUAGCCCAGCUCUCUCCCUGCCAGGCCCUCUGAAGUUCCACCCCCUGGCACUCAGCUCAUGGUGGGAACAGGACCAGGCUCUCCUGUUGCCAAGGGCAGUGAGAUGUUCGUAGCUUUAUUUCCCAGUACAUUGAUUUUACUGAUUUUAGUUUAUCUUCAGUUGAAUAAUUGUGUGUAUUGAUGGGGUUUAUGUUUUAUGGGGUUUGGCGUGAUGUUCUGAUGUAAGUAUUUGUUGCAGAAAGAUUCAAUUAAGCUAAUCAACAUAUCCAUCACCUCACCAACUUGUUUUUUUUGUGGUGAGAACAUUACAAGUCUAUUUUCUAGCAAUUUGGUAUACAAUACAGUCAUCCCUCGGCAUCCUCAGGGAAAUUGGUUCCAGGACGCCGCUCUGAUAACAAAAUCCGAGGAUGUUCAAGUCCCGGAUGUGAAAUGGCCUAGAGUUUGUACAGAGGUUGCACACGCACCCCCAGGACUUCAAAUCAUCUCCGAUGACUUAGCACCCAGUGCAAGGCAAGGCCAUGAAAACGGCUGUUCUACUGUAUUGUUUUACAUUCUUAUUCUUAUUUUUAAUUUAAAACUUUUCCCACAUCAUAAAUCCUCGGAAG
RNAcentral lists this long non-coding RNA (7731 nucleotides) under Homo sapiens (human). Its description in RNAcentral is "non-protein coding lnc-ATP5ME-1:8". The record is from RNAcentral. Lineage: Eukaryota; Metazoa; Chordata; Mammalia; Primates; Hominidae.